Molecule: ribosomal RNA, 468 nt
Filed under: uncultured bacterium
Lineage: Bacteria
Description: partial 16S ribosomal RNA
Rfam family: Bacterial small subunit ribosomal RNA
Source: RNAcentral
GACGAACGCUGGCGGCGUGCUUAACACAUGCAAGUCGAACGGAAAGGCCCUGCUUUUGUGGGGUGCUCGAGUGGCGAACGGGUGAGUAACACGUGAGUAACCUGCCCUUGACUUUGGGAUAACUUCAGGAAACUGGGGCUAAUCCCGGAUAGGAGCUCCUGCUGCAUGGUGGGGGUUGGAAAGUUUCGGCGGGUGGGGAUGGACUCGCGGCUUAUCAGCUUGUUGGUGGGGUAGUGGCUUACCCAGGCUUUGACGGGUAGCCGGCCUGAGAGGGUGACCGGCCACAUUGGGACUGAGAGACGGCCCAGACUCCUACGGGAGGCAGCAGUGGGGAAUAUUGCACAAUGGGCGGAAGCCUGAUGCAGCAACGCCGCGUGCGGGAUGACGGCCUUCGGGUUGUAAACCGCUUUCGCCUGUGACGAAGCGUGAGUGACGGUAAUGGGUAAAGAAGCACCGGCUAACUACGUG